RNAcentral lists this transfer RNA (74 nucleotides) under Ixodes scapularis (black-legged tick). It matches the Rfam family "tRNA". Rfam says of the family: Transfer RNA (tRNA) molecules are approximately 80 nucleotides in length. Lineage: Eukaryota; Metazoa; Arthropoda; Arachnida; Ixodida; Ixodidae. The record is from Rfam by way of RNAcentral.
GCCGUCGUGGCUUAGUCGAUUAAAGCGCCUGUCUAGUAAACAGGCGAUCGUGAGCUCGAAUCUCAUCGGUGCCU